RNA transcript from Solanum verrucosum, 5986 nucleotides. It is a transcript of the gene named E3 ubiquitin-protein ligase UPL3-like, with no coding region annotated. NCBI's taxonomy places the organism in Eukaryota, Viridiplantae, Streptophyta, Magnoliopsida, Solanales, Solanaceae. The record is from RefSeq and is a predicted model, not a curated record. The transcript is spliced from 18 exons.
AUCUUCCCCAAUUUUGUGAAUUAGGGCUUGUGAAAAAUGAUGAAAAUUUCGUUACCGGACUGCCUGAUCGCCGAUUAAUCGGCGACCUUGUUUGCUGUUCGCUGUUCGGUUUUGUAUGGAAACUCGGAGCCGGAAACGAACGGAGGCCACGUCAUCAGCGCCUUCUGCUUCUUCUCCUUCAUCAGGUCCCACCACACGCGCUGUUAAGAGAGCUCGUUUUACCACACGCGCCGCCUCAAACUCGAUCUCAGCUCGUUCCCGACUCACAAAUCGUUCCCAAGACCAACAAUCGAUGGACUCCACGAAUGAAUCAUCCGGGUCGGGCAGCCGAACCAGGCGGGGAAAGAAUCACGGGGCAGAUAGAAAUAAUCCGGAGAAGGGUAAGGAGAAAGAGCACGAAAUUAGGGAUAGAGACAGAGAUAUGGGAUUGAACAUGGAUACUGAUGGGGGUGAUGAAGAUGAUAAUGAAAGUGAAGGUGGUGCUGGGAUUUUGCAACAUAAUUUGACUUCAGCAAGUAGUGCACUUCAAGGAUUGUUGAGAAAAUUGGGUGCUGGUUUGGAUGAUUUACUGCCGAGUUCAGCAAUGGUGUCCGCUUCCUCGUCCCAACAGAAUGGGCGUCUGAAGAAGAUAUUAUCGGGCUUGAGAGCUGAUGGGGAAGAAGGGAAGCAAAUAGAGGCAUUGACGCAGCUUUGUGUGAUGCUUUCCAUUGGGACAGAAGACUCUUUGAGCACUUUUUCAGUGGACUCGUUUGUACCUGUCCUGGUGGGGUUGCUUAAUCAUAUGAGUAAUCCUGAUAUUAUGCUUCUCGCAGCUAGGGCGUUAACCCAUUUGGUUGAUGUUCUGCCAUCUUCUUGUGCUGCUGUUGUGCACUAUGGAGCGGUUUCAUGUUUUGUAGCUCGCUUACUCACGAUUGAAUACAUGGACUUAGCUGAACAGUCUCUACAAGCUUUAAAGAAGAUAUCUCAAGAAGAUCCAACUGCUUGUUUGCAAGCAGGUGCACUCAUGGCUGUGCUAUCGUAUCUCGAUUUCUUUUCCACUGGUGUUCAGAGAGUAGCACUAGCAACUGCUGCAAAUAUGUGCAAGAAGCUGCCUUCGGAUGCUGCUGACUUUGUGAUGGAAGCUGUUCCAUUGUUGACGAAUCUCCUUCAGUAUCAUGAUGCGAAGGUAUUAGAGCAUGCUUCUAUCUGCUUGACCCGGAUUGCUGAAGCAUUUGCAUCAUCUCCAGAAAAGCUAGAUGAACUCUGUAAUCACGGACUUGUCACACAGGCUGCCUCCCUCAUCUCAACCAGUAAUUCUGGAGGUGGUCAGGCUUCACUCAGCACAGAAACUUACACAGGCUUGAUCCGGCUUCUUUGUACUUGUGCCAGUGGCUCUCCAUUAGGGGCUAAAACCUUGAUGAUGCUUGGUAUCAGCGGGAUCCUCAAGGACAUUUUAUCAGCCUCUGUCUCUAUUUCACCUGCCAUGAGCAGACCUGCGGAGCAGAUUUUUGAGAUUGUGAAUCUUGUAAAUGAACUACUUCCUCCGCUGCCUCAAGGAACCAUCUCUCUUCCCGUUAGCACAAAUUUGUUCAUUAGAGGUCCUUUUACGAGGAAAUCCUCUGCUAGGGGUUCUAGCAAACAGGAGGAUCUGAAUGCAUCUCCUCAGGAGGUAUCAGCUCAUGAGAAACUAUUGAAUGAUCAACCUGCACUUCUGCAACAAUUUGGAAUGGAUCUCCUUCCUGUUCUGAUCCAGACAUAUGGAUCCAGUGUAAAUACAGCAGCACGCCACAAAUGCCUCUCAGUUAUUGGAAAACUUAUGUAUUUCAGUAAUGCAGAUAUGAUUCAGUCUUUAAUUAAUGACACUAACUUGUCAAGUUUCUUGGCUGGGGUUUUGGCGUGGAAGGAUCCCCAAGUAUUGGUCCCCGCUCUUCAAAUAGCAGAGAUUCUAAUGGAGAAGCUCCCUAGAGUUUUUGGCAAGAUGUUUGUCCGGGAAGGUGUUGUUCAUGCUGUAGAUGCCUUGAUGUUGUCUGGGUUUCAUGUUUCUGCCCCUCCCCAUCCAACACGUGCUGAGAAGGAGAAACAUAAUAGACGCCGUAGCACUAAUUCCAAUACAGAUGCAAUUUCUGUUGAAGAUCUUACAAGUCCAGUUCCAAGUACUGGAUCUUUGCCAAAUUCGAUAGAAAUUCCGACUGUCAAUUCUAGCCUUCGGAUGUCAGUCAGUACAUGUGCAAAAGCUUUCAAGGAUAAAUACUUCCCAUCAGAUUCUGAGGCUGCUGAAGCUGGUGUCACAGAUGAUCUUAUACAAUUGAAGAAUCUCUGCAUGAAGUUGAAUUCUGGUAUUGAUGAGCAGAUAGCUAAACCUAAAGGAAAAUCCAAAACAUUUGGCCCUCAGCUUGGGGAUAGUUCUGUUGGAAAAGAAGAAAACUUGGCUGAAGUGAUAGCUGCCAUGAUGGGGGAACUCAGCAAAGGGGACGGUGUUUCAACUUUUGAGUUCAGUGGAAGUGGAGUUGUUGCUUCUUUGCUGAAAUAUUUUACGUUUGCGUACCUUUCUAAGGAAAGAAUCUCUGAUACUAGUAUGUCUAGGCUUCGACAAAAAGCAAUCAGAAGAUACAAGUCUUUUAUUGCAGUUGCCCUUCCUGCUGGUGUUGAUGGUGGAAGUAUGGUUCCCAUGACUGUUCUGGUCCAAAAGCUUCAAAAUGCUCUAUGUUCGUUGGAGCGUUUUCCUGUUGUGUUAAGUCAUAGUUCCAGAUCAUCGACAGGAAAUGCACGUCUUUCUUCAGGUUUAAGUGUUUUGUCUCAGCCUUUUAAGCUGCGCCUUUGCAGAGCUCAAGGAGAGAAAACCCUCCGUGACUACUCUUCAAAUGUUUUGCUGAUUGAUCCUUUGGCAAGUUUAGUUGCUAUUGAAGAAUUCCUCUGGGCCCGAGUUGAGCGACCUGAGGCUGAACAGAAGGCCUCUGCUUCUGCUGGAAACUCUGGGUCUGGGACUAUACCUGCUGGAGGCAGUGCGUCAUCUCCAUCUAUGUCCACUCCGGCCUCUGCAUCUCGUCGUCAUUCUGCUCGAUCAAGGUCAGCAGUUAAUAUUAAUGAAAGUGAUGGAAGCUCUUCAAAGGGCAAAGGUAAAGCGGUUUUGAAGCCUGCUCAAAAAGAUGGCAGAGGAAUUCGAUCAAGAGAUCCUGCUAGAAUGAGAGCUGCCUUGGCGAAAGCCUUAGGAGAGGAGAAACCUGGUGACGGGGAGACUAGUUCAGAGGAUGAUGAGCUGCAUCCUUCUCUCAUUGAACUUGAUGAUGCUUUGGUGAUUGAGGACGAUAUGUCCGACGAAGAUGAAGACGACCAUGAUGAUGUGCUGAGGGAUGAUCCUCUUCCUAUCUGCAUGGCAGAUGAAGUGCAUGAUGUUAAAUUGGGAGACUCUUCGGAGGAUAGCCCUUUUGCACAGACACCAACUGGUAGCAAUACAAAUGCUGCUGGUGGUUCUAGGAGCAGAAUUGCUUCUGCUCGGGGAUCUGAUUCUGUUGAGUUCAGAAGUAGGAAUUCCUAUGGUUCAAGAGGGGCAAUGUCAUUUGCUGCUGCUGCCAUGGCUGGUCUUUCAUCUGCUAGUGUUAGAGGUGUGAGGGGCGCUAGAGAUCGACAUGGGCAUCCUCUACUCAGCUCUGGUGAUCCACCAAAACUAAUAUUUUCUGUUGGUGGGAAGCCGCUUAAUAGGCAGUUGACUAUCUACCAGGCUAUCCAGCGGCAGCUUGUUCUAGACGAGGAUGAUGAUGAGAGAUAUGGUGGCAAUGAUUUUGUAUCUAGUGACGGAAACAGGGUUUGGAGUGAUAUUUACACUAUCACAUACCAGAGGGCAGACAACCAAGCUGAGAGGUCGAGUGGGUCUGGGAGUUCAAUUUCCAAGUCUAUGAAAACCAGUUCUUCAACAAGUUCCAGUGCUGAUCCUUCAUUGGUUCGAGCAUCAUUGUUAGAUAGUAUAUUGCAGGGAGAACUUCCUUGUGAUCUGGAGAAAAGUAACCCUACUUACAGUAUUUUGUACCUCUUACGUGUAUUGGAGGCGCUGAAUCAGCUUGCCCCCCGUUUGCGAGUCCUGUCCAUGAUUGAUGAUUUCUCUGAAGGAAAAAUUUCUAGUCUAGAUGAGCUCAGUACUACGGGUAUCAAAAUUCCUUCUGAGGAAUUUGUCAAUAGUAAGCUCACUCCGAAAUUGGCACGACAGAUCCAGGAUGCUCUUGCACUUUGUAGUGGAUCUCUUCCAUCUUGGUGUUACCAGUUGACCAAGGCCUGCCCAUUUCUUUUUCCAUUUGAGACUCGGCGCCAGUACUUCUAUUCAACUGCUUUUGGGCUGUCACGUGCUUUAUAUAGGCUGCAGCAACAGCAAGGUGCUGAUGGUAAUGGGUCUACUCAUGAGAGAGCAGUUAGGGUUGGCAGAUUACAGCGCCAGAAAGUUCGUGUCUCAAGGAACCGCAUUCUGGAUUCUGCUGCAAAAGUAAUGGAGAUGUACUCUAGCCAAAAAGCUGUUCUUGAAGUUGAAUAUUUUGGUGAAGUUGGUACUGGCCUGGGUCCUACACUGGAGUUUUAUACCCUUAUAAGUCACGAUCUACAGAAACUUGGACUUGGAAUGUGGAGAUCUGGUUUAUCAUUAACUUCAAAUGAACAUUCUAUGGAAGUUCAUAUAGAUAAUAAAUUAAGUAGGAGUGAUAGAGAUCUUGUCCAAGCACCUCUUGGAUUAUUCCCACGUCCCUGGUCACCACAUACUGGUACUGUUGAUGGAGGUCAAUUCUGUAAGGCAAUUGAAUAUUUCCGCUUGCUUGGACGUGUUAUGGCGAAAGCUCUUCAAGAUGGACGGCUUUUGGACCUUCCACUGUCCAUGGCCUUCUAUAAGCUUGUUCUUGGCCAAGAACUUGAUUUGUACGAUAUUCUUUCUUUUGACGCCGAAUUGGGGAAGACUUUGCAAGAGUUGCAAGCCCUUGUCAGUCGAAAGCAAUAUAUAGAAUCAAUAAAAGAUCAGAACCUGGACAAAUCUUAUGACAUGCGUUUUCGUGGGACUCCAGUUGAGGAUCUUUGUUUAGAUUUCACACUUCCUGGCUAUCCUGAAUAUGUUCUUAAAGCAGGCGAUGAGAAUGUGGAUCUCAGUAACUUGGAGGAGUACAUUUCUUUGGUAGUUGAUGCUACUGUCAAAACUGGAAUCAGGCAGCAAAUGGAGGCUUUUAGAUCUGGCUUCAAUCAGGUUUUCGACUUUUCAGCUCUGCAAAUAUUCUCUCCUUCAGAGUUAGACUAUCUAUUAUGUGGCCGUAGAGAGCUGUGGAAGCCUGAGACGCUAGUAGAUCACAUUAAAUUCGAUCAUGGAUUCACAUCCAAGAGUCCUCCCAUUAUUCAUUUACUAGAGAUUAUGGGAGAGUUCACACCUGAGCAGCAACGAGCAUUCUGCCAGUUUGUCACUGGUGCACCUCGGCUCCCCGCAGGUGGUCUUGCUGCUCUGAAUCCUAAGUUGACAAUUGUGAGGAAGCAUUCAUCUAGUGCUGGCAAUGCAGCACACAGCAGUAAUGCCCCAUCAGAAUCUGCAGAUGAAGACCUGCCCAGUGUGAUGACAUGUGCUAAUUACUUGAAACUCCCUCCCUAUUCUACUAAGGAGAUCAUGUCCAAGAAGUUACUCUAUGCCAUUAAUGAAGGUCAAGGAUCGUUUGAUUUGUCAUAAGUCAAAGUGACUAAUAGACUUGUUUAUACAACUCAACAGAAUUGGUGCUUCUGAUCCUUGAUAAUGGUGCCGUCAAACCAUCCUCUUCAAACUAACAAUAGCAAGCUGACAUGGAAGCGUUGUUCAAGAUUUCUCCAGGGUUCUUUCUGCUGCUGUGAAGCUUGUUCAAGUUUUCUGCAGGAGUAACUUGUUUUGUAAAUGUUAGUAAAUACGUAGCAAGAUUCUUCUUUCAUUUUUGAUUUAUUAAGUUGGUGAAGUACAUAAAUGUAAGGUCACAAUGUUGCCUUCUUCCCUUUGCUUCUCUUAGAUUUAAAAUUAUACACCUUU